This 204-nucleotide long non-coding RNA is filed under the name Prunus persica (peach). RNAcentral's name for it is "long non-coding RNA (PPER_LNC002603)". The record is from RNAcentral. Lineage: Eukaryota; Viridiplantae; Streptophyta; Magnoliopsida; Rosales; Rosaceae.
GGGAUAUGGCCUUGAAUGCUAUUGGAACAAAUAGUAAUUUAAACAAUUGACUUAAAUUUCCAAAAGUGGAUAGAAUCUUCCCAGAGAAGGAUUUAAAUGCUGACAUGCCACUAUUAGCAAUUGAGAAAAUUAUAUUCUAUAUAUACUAAAACUCAAUGCAACUAAACACUGUAGCUAGGCACAGUGUAAUGACGGAAAUGCCCC